GAUGAACGCUGGCGGCGUGCCUAACACAUGCAAGUCGAGCGGCAGCGAGGGGUGCUUGCACCCUGUCGGCGAGCGGCGGACGGCUGAGUAACGCGUGGGAACGUGCCCCAAAGUGAGGAAUAACAGCCCGAAAGGGUAGCUAAUACCGCAUAUUAUCUUCGGAUCAAAGGAUUUAUCCGCUUUGGGAGCGGCUCGCGUCGGAUUAGGUAGUUGGUGAGGUAAUGGCUCACCAAGCCGACGAUCCGUAGCUGGUCUGAGAGGAUGACCAGCCAGACUGGAACUGAGACACGGUCCAGACUCCUACGGGAGGCAGCAGUGAGGAAUCUUCCACAAUGGGCGAAAGCCUGAUGGAGCAACGCCGCGUGCAGGACGAAGGCCUUCGGGUUGUAAACUGCUUUUAUAAGUGAGGAAUAUGACGGUAACUUAUGAAUAAGGAUCGGCUAACUACGUG
RNAcentral lists this ribosomal RNA (451 nucleotides) under uncultured bacterium. RNAcentral describes it as "partial 16S ribosomal RNA". It matches the Rfam family "Bacterial small subunit ribosomal RNA", at positions 28 to 507 of the family's 1533-position model. The record is from RNAcentral.